CCUACGGGUGGCAGCAGUGAGGAAUAUUGGUCAAUGGACGCAAGUCUGAACCAGCCAUGCCGCGUGCAGGAAGACGGCUCUAUGAGUUGUAAACUGCUUUUGUACGAGGGUAAACGCAGAUACGUGUAUCUGUCUGAAAGUAUCGUACGAAUAAGGAUCGGCUAACUCCGUGCCAGCAGCCGCGGUAAUACGGAGGAUUCAAGCGUUAUCCGGAUUUAUUGGGUUUAAAGGGUGCGUAGGCGGUCUGUUAAGUCAGAGGUGAAAUCCCGUGGCUCAACUUCGGAAUUGCCUCUGAUACUGUGCGGCUUGAGAAUAGUUGAGGUAGGCGGAAUGUAGGGUGUAGCGGUGAAAUGCUUAGAGAUCAUACAGAACACCGAUUGCGAAGGCAGCUUGCCAAGCUACUUCUGACGUUGAGGCACGAAAGCGUGGGGAGCAAACAGGAUUAGAUACCCCUGUAGUC
RNAcentral lists this ribosomal RNA (460 nucleotides) under uncultured bacterium. RNAcentral's name for it is "partial 16S ribosomal RNA". It matches the Rfam family "Bacterial small subunit ribosomal RNA", at positions 338 to 795 of the family's 1533-position model. The record is from RNAcentral.